This 2584-nucleotide long non-coding RNA is filed under the name Homo sapiens (human). RNAcentral describes it as "HSALNT0123148". The record is from RNAcentral. Lineage: Eukaryota; Metazoa; Chordata; Mammalia; Primates; Hominidae.
CUCUGCACUCCCAACUUGAGCUGUACUUUUUAAGAAAGUGAUUCACCCUGCCUUUGCCCCCUUCCCCAGAACAGAACACGUUGAUCAUGGGCGGUAUUUUUCAUUGUGCCAAAAAGUUGCCAUGACUGUCAUUAAACCUGUUUAACACCAAAUAAUAAGGAAAAUAAAAUAAAAAAUUCGGGCUUGGUGCAGAAACUCACUCCAAAUACAUUACCUUUAAAAAUAUUUAUAUAAUGGUAGAAAUAUUCCAAAAUUCCAUAUUUUGAGAUUUAUACACAAAAGAUAAACAAAUUAGAGGCCAAGAAAAACGGGGCCUGGAAAGGCCGUUGUGAGGAAUGAGCUGGGCCUAAAGAGGCCACUGGCAGGCAGGAGCUGGGACUGCCAAAGCGGCCGAAAGGCAGGAGCUUUGGACUGGGGAGGCCGCAGUGAGGCGAGAGCUAGCUGGGCGUGGAGAGUCCACUGUGAGGCUGAGGCUGGGCCUGUGCAGGCCUUCGAGAGGCAGGAAGCCAGGCCUGCAAAGGCCGACUGGAGGUCAAGUUCUGGGCCUGAAGAGGCCACCAAAAGUCAAAAGCGGGGCCUGGGAAGGCCACUGAGAGCCACGAGCUGGGCUGGGCCGAAAGAGGCCACUGGGAGGCAGGAGAAGCUGGGCCUGGAGAGGCUGACUCGAGGAAGUUUUGCACCGGGAGAGGCCGCCGAGAGGACGGAGCUGGGCCCGGGGAGGCCAACUUGCAGCUCUUCCAGGCCCACUUCCAGGCCAACUUAAGGACGACUUAGGCCUGCAGAGGCCGCCGGGAGGCUGGAGCUGGGCCUGGAGAGGCCGACUUCAGCACGAUUUAGGCCUGCAGAGGUCGCCGGGAGGCCCAAGCUGGGCCUAGAGGAGCCCACCGACCGGAGGCCGUUUGGGGCCUGGAGAUGCCGUCGGAGGGCAGGAGCUGAGCCUGGCGAGGCCACCGUGAGGCCUGACCUGGGCCUGGGGAGCUUGGCUUCAGGAAGUUGUGGGCCUACCAGGGCCACUGGGAGCUGGGCGGGAGCUGAGUCCAAAGACAUUGUUGGGAGGCCGGAGUCGGGCCUGGAGAUGCAGCCGGGAGGAAGAGCUGGGCCCGGAGAGGACGCCGGGAGGCUGCAAGUGGGUCUGGAGAGGCCGACUUGAGGAGGCCCGGCCUCUGCCUCCCGCAUGGUGGCCUCUGCAGGCCCAGCUGUUCCUCCUGGCUGCAUCUCUCGGCCCAGCUCCUGCCUCCCAGCAAGCAAGCUCUUUUGGCUCAGCUCCCGCCGGUGUUUGUAGACCCCGAAGUUUCUGCAGCCAAGCUCUUCAGGCCCACAUACUGCCUCCCAGUGGCCUGUAGAGUCCCAGCUCUGGCAGCAGAAGAGCAUCUGCAGGCCCCGCUGUUGCCUCCCAGGGGCGUCUCCAGGCCCAGCUCUCGCCCCACCGCAGCCUCUCGGGGCCAAGUCCCUGCCUGCUCCCGGCAGCCUGCGUGCAGUCCUGCUCCUCCCUCACGGUGGCCUGUUGAGGCAGGGGCUCACGCUGACCUCUCUCCGCGUGGGAGGGGCCAGUGUGAGGCAAGGGGUCAGCGUGGGAGGGGCCCGUGUGAGGCAAGGGGUCAGCGUGGGAGGGGCCCGUGUGAGGCAAGGGGUCAGCAUGGGAGGGGCUGGUGUGAGGCAAGGGGUCAGCGUGGGAGGGGCCGGUGUGAGGCAAGGGGUCAGCGUGGGAGGGGCCGGUGUGAGGCAAGGGGUCAGCGUGGGAGGGGCCGGUGUGAGGCAAGGGGUCAGCAUGGGAGGGGCCGGUGUGAGGCAAGGGGUCAGCAUGGGAGGGGCCGGUGUGAGGCAAGGGGCUCACGCCGACCUCUCUCAGCGUGGGAGGGGCCGGUGUGAGGCAAGGGGCUCAUGCCGACCUUCCUCAGCGUGGGAGGGGUCGGUGUGAGGCAGGGACUCACGCCUCUGGGCAGGGUGCCAGAGGCAUGAGUUGGGCAUCAACAGGCCACCGUGAGGGAGGAGCUGGGCCGCACGCGGGCUGCUGGGAGGCAGGCAGGGACUUGUCCCCGGGAGGCUGCCGUGGGGGCGAGAGCUGGGCCUGGAGAGGCCCCUGGGAGGCAAGAGCGGGACCUGCAGAGGCUGUUCUACAGCCAAAGCUGGGCCUGUACAGGCCACCGAGAGGCAGUAGGUGGGCCCGAAGAGCUUGGCUGGAGAAAGUUCGGGGCCUACAAAGGCGGCUGGGAGCUGGGCAGGAGUUGAGCCAAAAGGGCUUGCUUACUUGCUGGGAGGCAGGGCCGGGAGACGCCGACUUCAGGACGACUUGGGCCUGCAGAGGUCACCGGGAGGCCCAAGCUGGGCGUGGAGGAGCCCACCGACCGGAGACCAUUUGGGGCCUGGAGACGCCAUCGGAGGGCAGGAGCUGAUCCUGGAGAGGCCACCGUGAGGCCUGACCUGGGCCUGGGGAGCUUGGCUUGAGGAAGCUGUGGGCCGACCAAGGCCGCCAGGAGAUGGGCAGGCGCUGAGUCCAAAGAGGUUGUUGGGAGGCAGCAGUCGGGCCUGGAGACGCAGCCGGGAGGAAGAGCUGGGCCCGGAGAGGACGCCGGGAGGCUGCAAG